UGAUCAAAUAAAGUGUUAGCUCACUUUUCUUACUUCCUCAUUCACAUGAAGUGGUUGGUUGUCAGUGAUUAUAUAAAGACCUGUUGUUUUCACACUCUUCAGUGGAUCAGCCAUGGACAAAGGUUUGCUGCUGGUCCUGUUGUGUCUGCAGGUCGUCCUGCUCACCACAGUCUUCACUUCUGCUGAUGCAGCCGCUCUGCUGAGAGAUGAUCAGCAUCAACAACCUGUUGAUCCAAUCAGAAGUCUGCAGGUAACUUUGAUUGUGUUGUUUUGGCCUGUUGAGUAGAGGACAGUUUUGUCUGUGUGUAUUAAUCUGUUGAUCCGAUGAGAAGUCUGCAGCAAGUGAAACAAAGAGGACGCUGUGGGAGGAGAGAAGGAGCAUGCAGUUUGACAGCACUACUGCAAGGUUCUAAACUACAUGUUUUCCAGUUCAAGCCACACCCAACAGACGUCCAGAAUCAAGCUCUGCAGGAAGUGCCAUUAGAUGCAAACUAUUACCCUGAAUGAAGAUAAUUGUAAUGCUUACAGAACAGUGCAAAUGCUUUUAAUCAGAAAUAAAAGAUUUCACAUCAGAUAUUGCGUUUUUCUUUUCUUUUUUUUUUUUUUUUUUUUGCUUUCCACACAGUUCCACAUGGAAGGCCGUUUCCGCCACUUCAAAAAAAAAAAAAGUCAUAUGCAAUCUCAUAGUUAUGACUUACUAUCUCAUAAUUAUGACAUUGUGUCUCAUAAUUUUGAGAUAGCAUGUGACCUUUUUUUUUUUGUUGUUCAAGUGGUGGAAACGGCCUUCCAUAGUUCUGGAUGGUGACCAAAACAAACAGGACUCGCUGUCUUCUGACUGAAU
Molecule: long non-coding RNA, 841 nt
Organism: Amphiprion ocellaris (clown anemonefish)
Lineage: Eukaryota; Metazoa; Chordata; Actinopteri; Pomacentridae
Source: Ensembl